RNAcentral lists this ribosomal RNA (402 nucleotides) under Triticum aestivum (bread wheat). RNAcentral describes it as "partial small subunit ribosomal RNA". Lineage: Eukaryota; Viridiplantae; Streptophyta; Magnoliopsida; Poales; Poaceae. The record is from RNAcentral.
GAGAAUGGGGUAAGAAUCGGGGCAAUUGCACCAUUUUCGUCGUCGGGAUGUUUGAGCAAUGGGUUGAUCUGUUUAGUGUUCAUGCAGGUGACAUGCUUCUUUCUUUGGGUCGAUGCUCUGGCCAAGACUCUGAUGAAUGAACUGCAAGAAGAGCAUGAAGAAUGGUUGCGCAUGUUGCCACGAACGGCAGUGGCCACACCACGAGCUCCGGAAGAAGAGAUGGAUGGCGAAGCACGCACUGACAGAGAGCUAGCUAUUGAGCUUAGGAUGUUGAAGAAGAAGGUUAGGAAGCUUGAAGAUCAAGCACUACCAAUACCCAUUUGCAAAUACUUUUGGACAUUUGUAGGUAUGGUUGCUCUUGGGCCAAAUUCAGAGCGUAGAUCCAAGUGCAGGCUAGACUAA